CAGAAAAUAGUUUAAAUAAAAUAUUAAUUUUGGAGAUUAAUGAUAAGAGGUUUCUUUUUUCUGA
RNAcentral lists this transfer RNA (64 nucleotides) under Glischrochilus hortensis. RNAcentral describes it as "tRNA-Pro". The record is from RNAcentral. Lineage: Eukaryota; Metazoa; Arthropoda; Insecta; Coleoptera; Nitidulidae. RNAcentral also lists the same sequence under 1 other name.